GUGCUCUUCGGCAGCACAUUUACCAAAAUUGGAAAGGAUACAGAGAAGAUUAGCAUUAGCAUGGCCCCCACACAAGAAUGACAAGCAAAUUUGUGAUGCAUUCCAUAUUUUU
Molecule: small nuclear RNA, 112 nt
Filed under: Procavia capensis (Cape rock hyrax)
Lineage: Eukaryota; Metazoa; Chordata; Mammalia; Hyracoidea; Procaviidae
Source: RNAcentral